UGACAUAAGGAGCUAGUUGCCUGU
RNAcentral lists this non-coding RNA (24 nucleotides) under Mus musculus (house mouse). The record is from RNAcentral. Lineage: Eukaryota; Metazoa; Chordata; Mammalia; Rodentia; Muridae.